Molecule: long non-coding RNA, 980 nt
Organism: Gavialis gangeticus (Gharial)
Lineage: Eukaryota; Metazoa; Chordata; Crocodylia; Gavialidae
Exons: 3
Source: RefSeq, a predicted model, not a curated record
CGGCUCGCUUCGGGAUUGGUCGGGCGCAGGCAGGUCGGGAAUUGCCUGCUUCGCCUGCUGUCCCCGCCCACGCAGAAGUUUUGGCAGCGGCGCCGCGGGGUGGGGGCGUCUCAGGCAGCGGGCUCCUGAAGUCAGGAGAACGCCCCGUGGGGGCCCUGGCACCUGUGCCCCUUGCCACCGCCGGCCUGGCAGACAGGCAGGCGCGUCCCUCUGCUUGCUCCUUGCUUGCUGGGGCCCCCGAAGCCACUGGCUGCAGCCACAAAAUGACUGGGUGGACAGUGCCGAGCGCGGAGGCCCCGGGGCUUUGUUCCCUGUGGGCAGGGUGGCUGUCGGGUCUGCACUGUGGAAAGCCAGGCUCGUAAACACGCUGAGGCCCCCACAGUUGACGACUAUUAAACUGGGACUAAGUGAAAUGUCCUGGUGCUACAGGAAGACAGACGAGGACGGCGGGAAAGAAAUGGCAGUCUUCAUGUGCUACCACAGAAGGGAUGGGAUGGGUGACCUUUUUGAGAAGAGUCCAGCAUAUCAGUGGGAAGGACAAUCUUACUACCCAGUAUUCAAACACUGAGAAGAGUACAGCUACUUAGGAAAGGAAAGCUGGCACACUCCAUCUGGCCUGUCACCAGGACAGCUGUUGAGGUUAAAAAGUUGCCUCUGGAUCCAAAUGCUUGUUUUGCUGUUGUGAGAACAAGAGCUGUGCAAGGAACAAAGGAAAGGAAACGCUGUAUUUUCAAUGCAGAUAAAGAUUUGCUUGUGAGCAACAUUAAAGAAGUAGACCUAAGUAUAACAGUGUGCAAUACUGGGGAUAUUUAACUUCAUAUAUGAAAGUGAAUAUAUGUAUGAAUCUUAGUCAUGAUAUUUAUCAAUAUUUUAGCUAUAAAGAACAAGUAGAUCUAGCUACCAGUUGAAGGUACUGGUUUCCUUCACUUUAUGCUGUACAUGCAUUCCUGGAAAACAGCGCAUAACUUGAAUUCGCAUAA